Molecule: ribosomal RNA, 453 nt
Filed under: uncultured Prevotella sp.
Lineage: Bacteria; Pseudomonadati; Bacteroidota; Bacteroidia; Bacteroidales; Prevotellaceae
Description: partial 16S ribosomal RNA
Rfam family: Bacterial small subunit ribosomal RNA
Source: RNAcentral
ACGGGAGGCAGCAGUGAGGAAUAUUGGUCAAUGGACGAGAGUCUGAACCAGCCAAGUAGCGUGCAGGAUGACGGCCCUAUGGGUUGUAAACUGCUUUUGUACGGGAAUAAAGUGACCUACGUGUAGGUUCUUGCAUGUACCGUAAGAAUAAGGACCGGCUAUUCCGUGCCAGCAGCCGCGGUAAUACGGAAGGUCCGGGCGUUAUCCGGAUUUAUUGGGUUUAAAGGGAGCGUAGGCCGUGCUUUAAGCGUGUUGUGAAAUGUAGGCGCCCAACGUCUGCACUGCAGCGCGAACUGGAGCACUUGAGUACGCAGGAAGUAGGCGGAAUUCGUCGUGUAGCGGUGAAAUGCUUAGAUAUGACGAAGAACUCCGAUUGGGAAGCCAGCUUACUGUAGCGCCACUGACGCUGAUGCUCGAAAGCGUGGGUAUCGAACAGGAUUAGAUACCCUGGUA